Molecule: transfer RNA, 83 nt
Filed under: Bacteriovorax stolpii
Lineage: Bacteria; Pseudomonadati; Bdellovibrionota; Bacteriovoracia; Bacteriovoracales; Bacteriovoracaceae
Rfam family: tRNA
About the family: Transfer RNA (tRNA) molecules are approximately 80 nucleotides in length. Their secondary structure includes four short double-helical elements and three loops (D, anti-codon, and T loops).
Source: Rfam by way of RNAcentral
GGAGAGAUUGCCGAGCGGCCAAAGGCAACAGACUGUAAAUCUGUCGGUUUAUACCUUCGAAGGUUCGAAUCCUUCUCUCUCCA